RNAcentral lists this ribosomal RNA (585 nucleotides) under uncultured bacterium. RNAcentral's name for it is "bacterial SSU rRNA". It matches the Rfam family "Bacterial small subunit ribosomal RNA", at positions 338 to 916 of the family's 1533-position model. The record is from RNAcentral.
CCUACGGGAGGCAGCAGUGGGGAAUUUUGGACAAUGGGCGCAAGCCUGAUCCAGCAAUGCCGCGUGAGUGAAGAAGGCCUUCGGGUUGUAAAGCUCUUUUGUCAGGGAAGAAAAGGUGCGCUCUAACAUAGCGUACUGAUGACGGUACCUGAAGAAUAAGCACCGGCUAACUACGUGCCAGCAGCCGCGGUAAUACGUAGGGUGCAAGCGUUAAUCGGAAUUACUGGGCGUAAAGCGUGCGCAGGCGGUUUUAUAAGUCUGAUGUGAAAUCCCCGGGCUCAACCUGGGAACUGCAUUGGAGACUGUAAGGCUAGAGUGUGUCAGAGGGGGGUAGAAUUCCACGUGUAGCAGUGAAAUGCGUAGAUAUGUGGAGGAAUACCGAUGGCGAAGGCAGCCCCCUGGGAUAACACUGACGCUCAUGCACGAAAGCGUGGGGAGCAAACAGGAUUAGAUACCCUGGUAGUCCACGCCCUAAACGAUGUCUACUAGUUGUCGGGACUUAAUUGUCUUGGUAACGCAGCUAACGCGUGAAGUAGACCGCCUGGGGAGUACGGUCGCAAGAUUAAAACNCAAAGGAAUUGACGG